GUCAAGGUGCCGGAGUGGUUAACGGGCGGCCCUGCUAUCAAACGCAGUUUAGGCCGUGUCUUCGGACGCGCAGGUUCGAAUCCUGUCCUUGACG
RNAcentral lists this transfer RNA (94 nucleotides) under Coniochaeta ligniaria NRRL 30616. RNAcentral describes it as "tRNA-Ser". It matches the Rfam family "tRNA". Rfam says of the family: Transfer RNA (tRNA) molecules are approximately 80 nucleotides in length. Their secondary structure includes four short double-helical elements and three loops (D, anti-codon, and T loops). Further hydrogen bonds mediate the characteristic L-shaped molecular structure. tRNAs have two regions of fundamental functional importance: the anti-codon, which is responsible for specific mRNA codon recognition, and the 3' end, to which the tRNAs corresponding amino acid is attached (by aminoacyl-tRNA synthetases). tRNAs cope with the degeneracy of the genetic code in two manners: having more than one tRNA (with a specific anti-codon) for a particular amino acid; and 'wobble' base-pairing, i.e. permitting non-standard base-pairing at the 3rd anti-codon position. Lineage: Eukaryota; Fungi; Ascomycota; Sordariomycetes; Coniochaetales; Coniochaetaceae. The record is from RNAcentral.